Long non-coding RNA from Beta vulgaris subsp. vulgaris (sugar beet), 910 nucleotides. RefSeq lists it as uncharacterized. The record is from RefSeq and is a predicted model, not a curated record. NCBI's taxonomy places the organism in Eukaryota, Viridiplantae, Streptophyta, Magnoliopsida, Caryophyllales, Amaranthaceae. The transcript is spliced from 4 exons.
AAAACCCAAUAAUACCAAAACCCCCAAGGCCCCCUUUUCGGUUUGAGAGAUAAAAUGGAUCAUCUUCUCUCUCUCUCUCUUCAAACUCUUCUAUUCACUCAAAAGGCCAAAACCCCAAACCGAUGUCUCUCUACCUGAUUCUCCCUCAACCGUGAAAUUCUCUCCUGUGUUUAUUCUCGUCGGCUUCCCAGCUCGUCGGAGCUGCGUCUUCCACCCAUGGCUUCUCUCUCCACUAUUCGCGGUGUUGUGGCUAUUAUUAUUCUGUUGCGCUGCCGUGCGUCGGCCUGCCGCUGCUCAAAUCUUGUUCUAUUACCUAAAUUCCUCAUCUUAUAAUUUUGAUUAGCACACUGAUGUUGGGUGAACACAAAGGAGGUCCAUCAAGUCAUCAUCUAUUAGUUCUGUAAAAGCUGCGAAGUAUUUAAGUAUGAAUAAUUCUAUCUCCAACAGACUGCUACACAUGCUGCCUUGUGGCAUCCUCCAUUUCUUAGUAAGUAUGGCAGGUUAUGAAAAGAUCAGAAUGACGAGGAUAGCACAAAAUAUAAUGAAUUGCUGAAUAUCAUGCUAUACAUAUACUGUAGUCAGACUUUGAAGAUACAAAUGAACAAGAGCUUCAACAGGAUGAUGGAAAUAAUGGCGGAUUAGAGUAGCAAGCAUGCAUGAUACAUCGAGAAGCAUGCGUACAUGGAUAAUGGAAUUGAAGAAUAAUGAAAGAAUGACCUUAAGAUUGAUUUAGGUUUAUUUAAGGAGAUGUAUAUAUUAUGAUUUUAUGAUUUAAUUUUCAGAUUAACUAUUUAUAUUUUGGAUGCAAUAGUAUGUUUUCGAUUGAGUAUACUCUUUGGCUCAUUUUUUCAAUGGUCGUUGAGUAUUUCUACUCAUUUAUAACAAUAAUAUCAUUUUAUUUCCUCUUCAA